This 564-nucleotide ribosomal RNA is filed under the name Pichia terricola. RNAcentral describes it as "eukaryotic LSU rRNA". It matches the Rfam family "Eukaryotic large subunit ribosomal RNA", at positions 68 to 664 of the family's 3401-position model. Lineage: Eukaryota; Fungi; Ascomycota; Pichiomycetes; Pichiales; Pichiaceae. The record is from RNAcentral.
ACCCUGACAUGCCUCAGUAGCGGCGAGUGAGCGGCAGAGCUCAGAUUUGAAAUCGCCUCGGCGAGUUGUAAAUUGCAGGUUGGAGUCUUUGUGGCGGCGUGUGUCUAAGUCCCUUGGAACAGGGCGCCAUUGAGGGUGAGAGCCCCGUGCGGCACGCGUCCAAGCUUUAAGACCCUUCUGACGAGUCGAGUUGUUUGGGAAUGCAGCUCUAAGUGGGUGGUAAAUUCCAUCUAAGGCUAAAUACUGGCGAGAGACCGAUAGCGAACAAGUACUGUGAAGGAAAGAUGAAAAGCACUUUGAAAAGAGAGUGAAACAGCACGUGAAAUUGUUGAAAGGGAAGGGUAUUGGGCUCGACAUGGGGACUGCGCACCGUUGCUUCUUGUAGGCGGCGCUCUGUGCGGUUUCUGGGCCAGCAUCAGUUUUUGCCGCGGGAGAAUGGGGGGAGGAACGUGGCUCUUCGGAGUGUUAUAGCCUCUCUCAGAUGCCGCGAGCGGGGACUGAGGUCUGCGAUUCGUUCAAGGAUGCUGGCACAACGGCGCAAUACCGCCCGUCUUGAAACCACGG